Molecule: ribosomal RNA, 789 nt
Filed under: Methanolinea sp. enrichment culture clone L35A3_3
Lineage: Archaea; Methanobacteriati; Methanobacteriota; Methanomicrobia; Methanomicrobiales; Methanoregulaceae
Description: bacterial SSU rRNA
Rfam family: Archaeal small subunit ribosomal RNA
Source: RNAcentral
ACGGCUCAGUAACACGUGGACAACCUACCCUAAGGAGAGGGAUAACCCCGGGAAACUGGGGAUAAUACCCCAUAGACUAGAGAAGCUGGAAUGCUCUCAAGUCCAAAGGUCCGCCGCCUUAGGAUGGGUCUGCGGUCGAUUAGGUUGUUGUUGGGGUAACGGCCCAACAAGCCCGUGAUCGAUACGGGUUGUGAGAGCAAGAGCCCGGAGAUGGAUUCUGAGACACGAAUCCAGGCCCUACGGGGCGCAGCAGGCGCGAAAACUUUACAAUGCGGGAAACCGUGAUAAGGGAACCCCGAGUGCCCGUAAAUUCGGGCUGUCCAUCAGCGUAAAUAACUGGUGAAGAAAGGGCCGGGCAAGACCGGUGCCAGCCGCCGCGGUAAUACCGGCGGCUCGAGUGGUGGCCACUAUUAUUGGGCUUAAAGCGUCCGUAGCUUGGUUGUUAAGUCUCUUGGGAAAUCUACCGGCUCAACCGGUAGGCGUUCAGGAGAUACUGGCAAUCUAGGGACCGGGAGAGGUGAGAGGUACUCCAGGGGUAGGAGUGAAAUCCUGUAAUCCUUGGGGGACCACCUGUGGCGAAGGCGUCUCACUAGAACGGCUCCGACAGUGAGGGACGAAAGCUGGGGGAGCAAACCGGAUUAGAUACCCGGGUAGUCCUAGCCGUAAACGAUGCUCGCUAGGUGUCAGUCACGGUGCGACCGUGAUUGGUGCCGUAGGGAAGCCGUGAAGCGAGCCACCUGGGAAGUAUGGCCGCAAGGCUGAAACUUAAAGGAAUUGGCGGGGGAGCAC